AUUGAACGCUGGCGGCAAGCCUAACACAUGCAAGUCGAACGAGUGGCGGACGGGUGAGUAAUGUCUGGGAAACUGCCUGAUGGAGGGGGAUAACUACUGGAAACGGUAGCUAAUACCGCAUACCAUCGGAUGUGCCCAGAUGGGAUUAGCUAGUAGGUGGGGUAAAGGCUCACCUAGGCGACGAUCCCUAGCUGGUCUAAGAGGAUGACCAGCGACACUGAAACUGAGACACAGUCCAAAGUCCUACGGGAGGCAGCAGGUGGGAAUAUUGCACAAUGAGCGCAAGCCUGAUGCAGCCAUGCCGGGUGUAUGAAGAAGGCCUUCGGGUUGUAAAGUACUUUCAGCGGGGAGGCGUUACCCGCAGAAGAAGCACCGGCUAAAUCCGUGCCAGCCGCCGCGGUAAUUC
This 406-nucleotide ribosomal RNA is filed under the name uncultured bacterium. Its description in RNAcentral is "partial 16S ribosomal RNA". It matches the Rfam family "Bacterial small subunit ribosomal RNA", at positions 30 to 526 of the family's 1533-position model. The record is from RNAcentral.